Molecule: ribosomal RNA, 253 nt
Filed under: uncultured bacterium
Lineage: Bacteria
Description: partial 16S ribosomal RNA
Rfam family: Bacterial small subunit ribosomal RNA
Source: RNAcentral
UACGUAGGGGGCAAACGUUGUUCGGAAUUACUGGGCGUAAAGCGCGUGUAGGCGGCCCUGCAAGUCGGGUGUGAAAUCCCACGGCUCAACCGUGGAAGUGCACUCGAAACUGCAGGGCUAGAGUCCUGGAGAGGAAGGUGGAAUGCUUGGUGUAGAGGUGAAAUUCGUAGAUAUCAAGCGGAACACCGGUGGCGAAGGCGGCCUUCUGGACAGUGACUGACGCUGAGACGCGAAAGCGUGGGGAGCAAACAGG